RNAcentral lists this long non-coding RNA (1204 nucleotides) under Monodelphis domestica (gray short-tailed opossum). Its description in RNAcentral is "lncRNA (ENSMODG00000049564.1)". Lineage: Eukaryota; Metazoa; Chordata; Mammalia; Didelphimorphia; Didelphidae. The record is from RNAcentral.
AUGAGAUGUAAGCAAAGUCUUGAAGGAAGUGAGAAAAAAGAAGAGAUGAAGAUGCAAGAGCCUUCCAGUGUGAUGACAAGGAUGCCCAGGAUGUGGAUCAGCUGCCCAGGGUGCUUUCCCAGAAACAGUCCAUUUGAAAACCACGUCAAUGGUGGAUACUUCUUCAAGCUGGAGUUUGGGGGUCUAUGUUGGGAAUUGAACCAAGGAAAGAACAAUCUUGGCCAUAACAAUGCUCUUGAGUGUGUACAUUACAAGCAGGCAUGAAAUAUGGCUUCUUACAGUAAAAUGAAAUUGGAUAACUACAGUUCUCCAAAGAGGCAAUGAUGAGACCUCUCCAAUAGAGUACAUGCAUUUCUAUUCAUUUCUGAGAAGUGUUUCCUUAAUGGUGAGUUUCCUUCAACAGAAGGAAACGAUUUUUUUCAAGGAUGAAAAAUAGGUUUAGAGUCAAAAGGAGUCUUGUAGAUCAAAUUCAAAUGAUAAAUAUUAAUGUCAAAAAGGAAAAAAAUAUGUUUAAAGUUGAAAAUAAUCUUAUGGGUCAAACUUGGUGGUAUCAAACUCAAUAUAAUAAUAAUAAUAAUAGCUAACCUUUUUAUUGUGCUUACUAUCUGUCAAGCAUUAUUAUCUCAUUUGAUUAUCAUGACAGCCCUAAGAGUUGGGUCCUAUCAUUAAUCUUACUUCACAGAUGAGGAAACUGAGGCAAACAGAAUUUAAAUGACUUGCUUGGGGUCACAUAGCUAAUAAGUGUCUGAAGUUGGAUUUACAGUGAGAUCUUCCUGACUUUAUAUGUAGAGCUUUAUCCAUUAUACCAUCUAGCUUCCUGAAUAGAAACGGGAUUAGAAAUGGGCCACUAAACCAUACCUAAGAAUCCCUAUAAAUUGUAUACUGACGUAGAAAACCAUGUGAACAUCUAUAUUCUGUUGUAAUUUGGUUUGUUUUAUUAAAUAUUUCCCAAUUCCAUUUUAAUGUUUGUGUUCUGUUUCUUCUUUAAUACAUAGGUCCAAUACAAUGAUCUGGGAGAACCCCAAAAGACUUAUGAUGGGGAAUGCUAUCCUCUUCCAGAGAAAGAACUGUGGGAGUCAUCUUUCACAUUGGUGUAUCUCUGGCUUUAUUUUGGGGUUUAGGUUAUGUAUGACUUUGCUCUUACAACACUGACCAAUAUGGAAGUGUGUUUUCCAUGACAAUAAAAAUAAAAUAAAAAAAUACA